Salmo salar (Atlantic salmon) is the source of this 72-nucleotide non-coding RNA. NCBI's taxonomy places the organism in Eukaryota, Metazoa, Chordata, Actinopteri, Salmoniformes, Salmonidae. The record is from Rfam.
UCCCGUGUGGCUCAGUUGGUAGAGCAUGGUCUUUGCAAUGCCAGGGUUGUGGGUUCAAUUCCCACAGGGGAC